GAGUUUGAUCAUGGCUCAGAUUGAACGCUGGCGGCAUGCCUUACACAUGCAAGUCGAACGGCAGCACGGGAGCUUGCUCCUGGUGGCGAGUGGCGAACGGGUGAGUAAUGCAUCGGAACGUAUCCUGGAGUGGGGGAUAACGUAGCGAAAGUUACGCUAAUACCGCAUAUUCCUGUGAGCAGGAAAGCGGGGGACCUUCGGGCCUCGCGCUCUUGGAGCGGCCGAUGUCGGAUUAGCUAGUUGGUGAGGUAAAGGCUCACCAAGGCGACGAUCCGUAGCAGGUCUGAGAGGAUGAUCUGCCACACUGGAACUGAGACACGGUCCAGACUCCUACGGGAGGCAGCAGUGGGGAAUUUUGGACAAUGGGGGCAACCCUGAUCCAGCCAUGCCGCGUGAGUGAAGAAGGCC
This 408-nucleotide ribosomal RNA is filed under the name bacterium enrichment culture clone ALO1_GLFRUDD03F1CIR. Its description in RNAcentral is "bacterial SSU rRNA". It matches the Rfam family "Bacterial small subunit ribosomal RNA", at positions 9 to 416 of the family's 1533-position model. The record is from RNAcentral.